This 253-nucleotide ribosomal RNA is filed under the name uncultured bacterium. RNAcentral's name for it is "partial 16S ribosomal RNA". It matches the Rfam family "Bacterial small subunit ribosomal RNA", at positions 524 to 776 of the family's 1533-position model. The record is from RNAcentral.
UACGUAGGUGGCGAGCGUUGUCCGGAUUUACUGGGCGUAAAGGGAGCGUAGGCGGACUUUUAAGUGAGAUGUGAAAUACUCGGGCUCAACUUGAGUGCUGCAUUUCAAACUGGAAGUCUAGAGUGCAGGAGAGGAGAAUGGAAUUCCUAGUGUAACGGUGAAAUGCGUAGAGAUUAGGAAGAACACCAGUGGCGAAGGCGAUUCUCUGGACUGUAACUGACGCUGAGGCUCGAAAGCGUGGGGAGCAAACAGG